Molecule: transfer RNA, 61 nt
Filed under: Nigidius miwai
Lineage: Eukaryota; Metazoa; Arthropoda; Insecta; Coleoptera; Lucanidae
Description: tRNA-Cys
Source: RNAcentral
AGCUUUAUAUUCAUUAAUGAUACAAGAUUGCAAAUCUUGAGGUGGAAUAAUCCUAAGGCUU